Manis javanica (Malayan pangolin) is the source of this 440-nucleotide non-coding RNA. The record is from RefSeq and is a predicted model, not a curated record. Lineage: Eukaryota; Metazoa; Chordata; Mammalia; Pholidota; Manidae.
CAGCAUGCUAGAAAGCAGAGAAUGGAAAUAAGGUAGCAAGAAGGAAUAAAGAGAAGAGAAUGAAGUUGGUCGGUAAUAAAAUGGAAAACUGUUAAACACACAUCCAUCUUCUGAACAGUGUUAUCCUAAGGCCAAGAGGAAGCUUUCAAAACAGGAGCCCAUCCAAUCGCAAGCCUUUCUCUGGACUCACUCUCCUCAACCACAGACCCAGCUACUAAAGAAGAUAGUUGUGGAACAGGGCGGCGCUGUAAGAAGUGCCUGAAGCCUGGACCACUCUUUGGUGCUAUGAAUCAGAAGAGUGGCAUGGCAGAGAUGGUGGCCCAGAGGGGACACAAGAGGGCCUUCAAUGUGCACGUCAUGGUUUUGGCUGCAAAAGUGUGCUCAAUUUACAAAAUUUCACUGAGAUGUACAUUUAUGAUUUGUACACUUUUCUGUAUAUA